GAUGAACGCUAGCUACAGGCUUAACACAUGCAAGUCGAGCGGAAACGACAUCGAAAGCUUGCUUUUGAUGGGCGUCGACCGGCGCACGGGUGAGUAACGCGUAUCCAACCUGCCCAUCACUUGGGAAUAACCUUGCGAAAGUAAGACUAAUACCCAAUGACAUCCCACGAAGACAUCUGAAUGGGAUUAAAGAUUUAUCGGUGAUGGAUGGGGAUGCGUCUGAUGAGCUUGUUGGCGGGGUAACGGCCCACCAAGGCAACGAUCAGUAGGGGUUCUGAGAGCAAGCUCCCUCAGACUGGAACUGAGACACGGUCCAAACGCCUAGGAGCGGCAGCAGUGCGGAAUAUUGGUAAAUGGGCGAGAGCCUGAACCAGCCAAGGAGCGUGGAGGAUGACGGCCCUAUGGGUUGUAAACUGCUGUUAUAAGGGAAUAAAGUGGGUCUCGUGAGACUUUUUGCAUGUACCUUAUGAAUAAGGACCGGCUAAUUCCGUG
This 492-nucleotide ribosomal RNA is filed under the name uncultured bacterium. RNAcentral's name for it is "partial 16S ribosomal RNA". It matches the Rfam family "Bacterial small subunit ribosomal RNA", at positions 28 to 507 of the family's 1533-position model. The record is from RNAcentral.